CAAAUUAGAGCUUGAGUUAGAGUGUUUCAUUUACAUUGAAAAGAUAUUAUUAUUAAAUAAUUAAUUUGA
This 69-nucleotide transfer RNA is filed under the name Thaumetopoea processionea. RNAcentral's name for it is "transfer RNA-Val". The record is from RNAcentral. Lineage: Eukaryota; Metazoa; Arthropoda; Insecta; Lepidoptera; Notodontidae.